GAUUUGGCUUCCUAACUGAUGGAAGUCCUUAAUACCACAAGGAUAUGUAACAAUAGGCACGACAAAUUGGUUUGGAAAUCAAAGGACAACUUCAUUAGUGCGCUCUUUUUAUAGGUGCCUUGUAAAUAAUGUGCCUCAGUAUUCUCUUAGCGCUCCUAAAGUUUGGAUGGGAUUGACACCUCCAAAGGCUGAGUUACUUGUUUGGUUUGUGUGUAAUGAAAAAUAUACGCACCAGAGAAUGGUUG
Molecule: unclassified non-coding RNA, 245 nt
Filed under: Hevea brasiliensis (rubber tree)
Lineage: Eukaryota; Viridiplantae; Streptophyta; Magnoliopsida; Malpighiales; Euphorbiaceae
Source: RNAcentral